GCAUAUCAAUAAGCGGAGGAAAAGAAACCAACAGGGAUUACCUCAGUAACGGCGAGUGAAGCGGUAACAGCUCAAAUUUGAAAUCUGGCCUCACGGUCCGAGUUGUAAUUUGUAGAGGAUGCUUCGAGCAUGGUCUGGCCUAAGUUCCUUGGAACAGGACGUCAUAGAGGGUGAGAAUCCCGUAUGCGGCCAGGUGCCUACGCUCAUGUGAAGCUCCUUCGACGAGUCGAGUUGUUUGGGAAUGCAGCUCAAAAUGGGUGGUAAAUUUCAUCUAAAGCUAAAUAUUGGCCAGAGACCGAUAGCGCACAAGUAGAGUGAUCGAAAGAUGAAAAGCACUUUGGAAAGAGAGUUAAACAGUACGUGAAAUUGUUGAAAGGGAAGCGCUUGCAACCAGACUUGCGCGCGGCCGAUCAUCCGGUGUUCUCACCGGUGCACUCGGCCGUGCUCAGGCCAGCAUCGGUUUUGGCGGCUGGAUAAAGGCCCUAGGAAUGUGGCUCCUCUCGGGGAGUGUUAUAGCCUAGGGUGCAAUGCAGCCUGCUGGGACCGAGGACCGCGCUUCGGCUAGGAUGCUGGCGUAAUGGUUGUAAGCGGCCCGUCUUGAAACACGGACCAAGGAGUCUAACAUCUAUGCGAGUGUUUGGGUGUCAAACCCAUACGCGUAAUGAAAGUGAACGGAGGUGAGAACCCUUAAGGGUGCAUCAUCGACCGGUCCUGAAGUUUACGGAAGGAUCUGAGUAAGAGCAUAGCUGUUGGGACCCGAAAGAUGGUGAACUAUGCCUGAAUAGGGUGAAGCCAGAGGAAACUCUGGUGGAGGCUCGCAGCGGUUCUGACGUGCAAAUCGAUCGUCAAAUUUGGGUAUAGGGGCGAAAGACUAAUCGAACCAUCUAGUAGCUGGUUCCUGCCGA
Molecule: ribosomal RNA, 905 nt
Filed under: Pseudogymnoascus pannorum
Lineage: Eukaryota; Fungi; Ascomycota; Leotiomycetes; Thelebolales; Thelebolaceae
Description: LSU rRNA
Rfam family: Eukaryotic large subunit ribosomal RNA
Source: RNAcentral